This 301-nucleotide ribosomal RNA is filed under the name uncultured bacterium. RNAcentral describes it as "partial 16S ribosomal RNA". It matches the Rfam family "Bacterial small subunit ribosomal RNA", at positions 509 to 807 of the family's 1533-position model. The record is from RNAcentral.
CAGUAGCCACGGGAAUACGUAGGGUGCGAGCGUUAAUCGGAAUUACUGGGCGUAAAGCGUGCGCAGGCGGUUUUGUAAGACAGGCGUGAAAUCCCCGGGCUCAACCUGGGAAUGGCGCUUGUGACUGCAAAGCUAGAGUGCGGCAGAGGGGGAUGGAAUUCCGCGUAUAGCAGUGAAAUGCGUAGAUAUGCGGAGGAACACUGAUGGCAAAGGCAAUCCCCUGGGCCUGCACUGACGCUCAUGCACGAAAGCGUGGGGAGCAAACAGGAUUAGAUACCCCGGUAGUCCCUGUCUCUUAUAC